RNAcentral lists this ribosomal RNA (690 nucleotides) under Ligilactobacillus murinus. Its description in RNAcentral is "bacterial SSU rRNA". It matches the Rfam family "Bacterial small subunit ribosomal RNA", at positions 56 to 714 of the family's 1533-position model. Lineage: Bacteria; Bacillati; Bacillota; Bacilli; Lactobacillales; Lactobacillaceae. The record is from RNAcentral.
UGCAGUCGAACGAAACUUCUUUAUCACCGAGUGCUUGCACUCACCGAUAAAGAGUUGAGUGGCGAACGGGUGAGUAACACGUGGGCAACCUGCCCAAAAGAGGGGGAUAACACUUGGAAACAGGUGCUAAUACCGCAUAACCAUAGUUACCGCAUGGUAACUAUGUAAAAGGUGGCUAUGCUACCGCUUUUGGAUGGGCCCGCGGCGCAUUAGCUAGUUGGUGGGGUAAAGGCUUACCAAGGCAAUGAUGCGUAGCCGAACUGAGAGGUUGAUCGGCCACAUUGGGACUGAGACACGGCCCAAACUCCUACGGGAGGCAGCAGUAGGGAAUCUUCCACAAUGGGCGAAAGCCUGAUGGAGCAACGCCGCGUGGGUGAAGAAGGUCUUCGGAUCGUAAAACCCUGUUGUUAGAGAAGAAAGUGCGUGAGAGUAACUGUUCACGUUUCGACGGUAUCUAACCAGAAAGCCACGGCUAACUACGUGCCAGCAGCCGCGGUAAUACGUAGGUGGCAAGCGUUAUCCGGAUUUAUUGGGCGUAAAGGGAACGCAGGCGGUCUUUUAAGUCUGAUGUGAAAGCCUUCGGCUUAACCGGAGUAGUGCAUUGGAAACUGGGAGACUUGAGUGCAGAAGAGGAGAGUGGAACUCCAUGUGUAGCGGUGAAAUGCGUAGAUAUAUGGAAGAACACCAGUG